Molecule: transfer RNA, 73 nt
Filed under: Canis lupus familiaris (dog)
Lineage: Eukaryota; Metazoa; Chordata; Mammalia; Carnivora; Canidae
Also listed under: 1 other name
Rfam family: tRNA
About the family: Transfer RNA (tRNA) molecules are approximately 80 nucleotides in length. Their secondary structure includes four short double-helical elements and three loops (D, anti-codon, and T loops).
Source: Rfam by way of RNAcentral
GCUUGACUGGCUCAGUUGGUAGAGCGUGUGACUUUUUAUCUUGGGGUCAUGAGUUCGAGCUUCAUGUUGGGCA